Photinus pyralis (common eastern firefly) is the source of this 788-nucleotide long non-coding RNA. RefSeq lists it as uncharacterized. The record is from RefSeq and is a predicted model, not a curated record. NCBI's taxonomy places the organism in Eukaryota, Metazoa, Arthropoda, Insecta, Coleoptera, Lampyridae. The transcript has 4 exons.
AGGAUACGAAAGUGUGUGCAUCUACAAGUGCCCUCUAUUUUCUAGAAAGAGCUUGAGUAUAGUUUUAGCAAUGGACGCUAGUCAAAUAGUGACUCUAGUACAACGAGCUCUCGCUCAGAGUGAAUGUAUUCGUUGGAAUGAUAGCCCGGUACACAGGUACCUUGCUCAAUGAGUGGACCACGUGGCUAAGGAAAGUCGCAGGUUCUGCUUAAGUAUAUUUUUGAUGAAAUUUCUCGUAAGUUCCAGAUCUUCCUUGUAAUCUACAGUUGGUGAAGAAAAAAUGUCCAAGUCACUGGGAGAGUCCUCGAAUGGAUGCAGUUUUGGCGUUUUUUGACCACUACAAUAUUAAUCGAGAACAUUUCUUGAAAUCCAUUCGGACAGGGAAUUCAAUAAUCGUGAGGUUAUGGAAAACGUUUUUUUGAGAAAAGUUUCUUGUGCAAAUGGAGACACCAAUUGUUGUGAGUGCCUGGUCAUUUGUGCCCCUUGGAACUCAACGGAUCCUUAAGCAAUUUCAAUGGGACAUACACUCACACAUUACAGUACCCACCUAGCGGACCAAACACGUGGAGACCAAAGAAAUGUUAUUUCUCUCAACCCCUACGCAAUCAGUCCACCACAAAGGGAUUGAUUAUUGGGUGUCCCUUGGAUGGUGUGUCAUCAGCUUAUUACAUGUGGGAAACUUGAACGGUAAGGUGGAUUCUUUAUCAUAUCUGGAGAUCGGAGUUUAAGGAUUUAACGACAUUAUGAGGUCGGCAUUUUAAUCUCUUCGAUUACACAGUAUUAUGAAG